UCUGUCAGAUUUGGCAUGUUGGAAGAGUUUCAAAUUCAGGUAUAUCAUGUUUAUUUCAUCAUAUCAUUAUUUAUUAUGAAAAUAAAAGUUGGAGUGAGCUGAAGGUCUAACCAUCAAUGUCAACCCAAAUUGGUUAAGAUCAUCAAUUUUUAACAUAGACCUAGCAUAAUUUUAGCAUUACCUAGCUCAAAUAUAACAUGAUUUUUAAGCAUCAAUCAAAUAACUUAGGUCUACCAUCAUUGACAGUAAACCGAAGAUGAUUUGGGUUUGAGGUUGUUAUUAUUGAGAAUUACUAUCAAGGUGUAACCACUUUCUAAUGUUUUAAGGUCUACUCACAUUUAUGCAAAUAGAAUACUCACUCAAUGUAUGUUCAUGUUUUUUCCUUGUGAAUCGAAUAGUUUAUCAGCCAAAUGGACAAGCACCGAUAUCUUCUACGGACAAGUCACUCACAAGCAAUGAUGUACAACAAUUCACGAAACCGAGACGGCUAAGCACAGAUGAAAUUCCUCAUAUUGUCAAUGAUUUCAGACUUGCUGCAAGAAAUGCUAUUGAAGCUGGUAAGUUUACAGGUUUUUACAAAUUUUGUCUAAAAUUGAAAAAUGCCAUAGUACAAUAUUGAUAUUUUUUCAGAAACAUGACUAUUUGUUGCUUUAAAGCACAAGGACAUUUUUCAAAUCUCCUAACAUAAUCAAUGUGGUGCAAAUUGAAGGUUUUGAUGGAGUUGAAAUCCAUGGAGCUCAUGGCUACCUACUUGAACAAUUCAUGAAAGAUAAAGUGAAUGACAGAACAGAUGAAUACGGUGGAUCCCUCGAGAAUCGUUGUCGAUUUCCUUUGGAAGUUGUUGAAGCAGUUGUGAAUGAGAUAGGAGCAGAUAAAGUUGGAAUUAGACUAUCACCUUUUGCAGAAUAUGCAGAAAGCGGAGACUCCAAUCCCAAUGAAUUGGGACUUCAUAUGGUUAAUGCCCUCAAUAAGUACAAUAUUCUUUACUGUCACAUGGUGGAACCAAGAAUAAAAUCAGCUUCUGAAACGAUUGAAAGCCCUUACAGUCUGGUGCCAAUGAGAAAGGCUUUCAAUGGCUCUUUCAUGGCUGCAGGAGGCUAUGACAGACAAGACGGGAUCGAUGCUAUAGCUGAAAACAAGGCAGAUCUUGUAGUUUAUGGUCGUUUGUUCUUAGCAAAUCCAGAUUUGCCAAAGAGAUUUGCACUUAAUGCUCCUCUCAACAAGUAUAAUAGGGAGACAUUCUACAUUUCUGAUCCGGUUGUUGGUUACACUGACUAUCCCUUUCUUGAAUGAAGAAAACAAUGUUGUAUUGCAGCAUCCAAGGGUGGACCUCCAUAUUAAUAAGUUGUUUUUCUUCUUAUACAUUGGUUUUGCAGUGAAUUUGGUCACUUAAUUAAGAAUUUUGUUAAUUAUAGACAUAGUUAUAUUUUUUAUUCAUUCUUCUCAUACUAGCUUCUCUGCUAGGACACACAGUGUGUAGAACCAUUAUGUACCUGAUUUUUGUAAUACCAUUUGAGCUUUGUGUUAAUGAAAAGGAUUGUUGUAGUAACCAAAUUUUUUUAAUUGCUAUGCUAUGGUAACUACCGUGAUACUAAGAAUUGACAUUGUUAUUGAUUUUGAAAAUAUCUGUAGUGAAUUUGAUUCCUGAUUUACUCGGUUGAACCACAAAAUCUUCAAAUCGAAGCCUAAUUCAAGUACUUUCAAGUAUUGUUUCAACUUGAGAUAUAAUUCAGGUACUACUGAUUGUUUCGGUUUGAUAAGAAUCUUAUCAAUGUCAUGGUAACACCGCUAAACGGUGGUUGAAGCUUCGCACCUAUGGCAUGGUAACAAAAAAUAAGAAAAAGAACAAUCAUGGAAGGUUUACGAUCCCUUUCUUCGAAGGGGAAAAUAUGAAAGACCUGUGCUAUUAUAAUUUGUUAUGAAAAAUUUUGGUUUUGACUGACUGUAGAAGAGUCGUGCCAUGUAGAAUUUUUACAUUUCUUGUCCAAGUCUAACGAUAAGAAUUUUUCAAUAUGAAAACGAUAUAUACCAGUAAUGAAAGGAAAGGUCAGCAAAAAGCAUAAAUGCUGAUACUACUUUCCAGUUUUUAUAGUAUAUAAAAACAUAUCCUCCAACUUCGUAUUCAAGUGUAUAAGAAAAGUGUAUAUUUUCCUCAUUAUAUAUCAGUAUCAGUUCAUAAUUGAUUAACUAAUCAAAUGGAAAUUAUGGUUGGUGAUCCCAUUCCUCUUCUUACUCCUUACAAGAUGGGCAAAUUCAAUCUAUCUCAUAGGUAUAUAAUAUGUUUUAAUUCCAUUUAUUAUGCUUGCUUCAAACAUAUAUAAAGUUGUUUAAAAUAUUCACUACUCAUCCUAUUCAUUUGAUUUUAGAGUAGUUUUGGCACCGUUGACCAGACAAAGAUCAUACAACAACAUUCCUCAACAGCAUGCUGUCCUAUAUUACUCUCAAAGGGCCUCUGAAGGUGGUCUUCUCAUAUCUGAAGCUACCGGGGUCUCUGAAACUGCUCAAGGGUAACUUGCAAUUAAUACAAACCAAUUUCAUAACUAUCUUUAACAAACUUCAACUAAUUAAUUCUAAUGUUAUAUAUGUGAAGGUCUUCAAACACACCUGGCAUAUGGACAAAAGAGCAAGUCGAAGCGUGGAAACCUAUCGUGGAUGCUGUUCAUGCCAAAGGUGCUACAUUCUUCGAUCAAAUUUGGCUUGUUGGUAGGGUUUCUAAUUCUGGUAUGCAUUUAGUUUAAUCAAAUUAGCAAUUAACUAACAAAUUUUUUGAUUUUUCAGUAUUUUUUUAGGUAGGAAUUGAAUUUUUGUUACAGAAUGAUAUUGAUUUAUGUUCACUAGUUUAAUUACAAAUUUACAUGUAUGUAUUCUACACAUUUAUUAUACACAUGUAAUAUUGUAUUCUCAUUUUCCAUAUAAUUCUAACCAGUUUAUCAACCAAAUGGACAAGCACCAAUAUCUUCUACAGACAAACUACUCACACCACGAAUUGGAGGCAAUGGUAUUGAAAUAUCACAAUUCACACCACCAAGGAGGCUAAGAUCAGAAGAAAUUCCUAAUAUUGUCAAUGACUUUAGACUUGCUGCAAGAAAUGCUAUUGAAGCUGGUAACUUCACCUAUCUUUACCAAUCUCUCCAAAAAUUCAAAAUGCUUCAAUAUAAGAGAGGCCGGAAUAACAACAUAAACUAAAUACGAAGAAAAAAAUCACAAAAUCCGAUGUCUCUAAGUUUUCAUCGUUAUUUUAACAUUUUAUAUCAGGAAGGCAUUUUGUGUACUAAUUAUGGUGCGCAUUGUAGUUUUGAUGGGGUUGAAAUUCGUGGGGCUACUGGAUACCUACUUGAGCAAUUCAUGAAAGAUAAAGUGAAUGACAGAACAGAUGAAUAUGGUGGAACUCUUGAAAACCGUUGUAAAUUUGUUUUGGAAAUUGUUGAAGCUGUUGUAAAUGAGAUUGGUGCCGAAAGAGUUGGAAUAAAACUAUCACCUUUUUCAGAUUUCGAAGAAUGUGGAGACUCAAAUCCGAAGGCAUUGGGGCUUUACAUGGUUAAUGCCCUCAAUAAAUAUGGUAUUCUGUAUUGUCAUAUGGUAGAAUGAAUAAGUAAUGAAACUAUUGAUGAUAAAACAAAAUGUCUUCACAACUUGGUGCCAGUGAGAAAGGCUUUCAAUGGCACUUUCAUGGUUACCGGAAGCUAUGAAAGACUAGACGGGAUCAAUGCUAUAGCUGAAAAUAGGGUAGAUCUUGUUGCUUACGACCGUUUAUUCAUAGCUAAUCCAGAUUUGCCAAAGAGAUUUGCACUUAAUGCUCCCCUAAACAAGUAUAAUAUGGAGACAUUCUGCACUUCUGAUCCAGUUCUUGGUUAUACCGACUACCCUUUUCUUGAAUGAAUAAACAUAUGUUGUACUUGUAGCAUGUAAGGGUGGCCACAUUUUUGCAAUAAAGUUGGUAAUUGAAUGUUUGAAUUGAUGGUGGAUUUUCAGAAUCAUAAUGAAUAAUCGUGAUUCAGAUAAAAACUACACUUUUUAAUAUCAACUAAAUCACGGUGUUGUCACAAUUUGACCUAACUCACCGCACAUUUCAACAUGCAUUUGGCCCUUAUAUAGCCUUUUACACACUUUCUUACACUACAAGUAAACUUCUAAUUGCAAUGAAUCCUAAUAAAAUCCUCCCCUAAACUGAAUACUGCUAUAGCAGAUCAGUUUACACAAGCAACAACAAAUCAAUCUAGGAGGAUUCACGUAGUGGUAAAAAGAAACAUAGAAUAUGUUCUUACUGUGAGGAAAAAUGAUUGUACAUUCAUUGAAAUGUGAAAUACAAAGAAUGAUACUUAUUUAUAGUAAAGUAUCUAAGUAAUUAGAGUUGUCUUGCAUUGCAAGUAACCUCUACUAAACAAGCCCUAAUUACACUAAAACAUUAUUGAAACUUAAGCACAAAAUAUAAACCUUCUAACACUUACAUCACAUGAGUCAAAUUGGACUGCUAAUUAAGGUCAAAGGCAAGAAUGCAACGUAACAGCAAACGUUAGCAAGAGCCAAGAAGCAUAAAGGCCCACAACCUCUUUCAUAGCCAUAUUAUUUCAACAUCAAAAUAAGUGCAGUACUAUACUAGGGUUCACACUUCAACCUUACACACAUAAUACAAUGUCCUAUCAAUUGAUUUAAGUUCAUGUAUCAAAAAACUAACACUUUACAUGUUUAUUUUUAUUUCUCUCUUGCUUUUUAUCUUUAAAUUUUUACACAUAUUUUAAAAUAUACUCGACACAAUCCUGUAUUUGAUAACAAUAUUUUUAUACUCAAUCAUUUUUCGUCAAGUUUUAGUAUAAUAUAUUUCAUUUACUUUGGUUACUUCAAAGUUCAAACAUAUAAAAUUGUUUAAAAUAUCCACUAACCCUGUGUGUCUAUGUCUAAUAAUAUAUUAAUUUUAAUUUUAGAGUACUUUUGGCACCAUUGACCAGACAAAAAUAGUAAUAGUACAACAACGUUCCUAAAAAACAUGACAUCCUCUAUUACUCUCAAAGGUCCUUUAAAGUCGGUCUUCUCAUAGCAGAAGCAGCCGGGGUCUCUGAAACUUGCUAACAACACUCUUCAAUUUCUUUAUUCCUCUUCAUGCUUUGAUCAAGACAAAGAUUAGUCUUAUAAGCCAAUUCCAUCGCUUUCAUACCUUAAAACUCAAAUCCAUCGCUUUCAUAUAGCCGGCUAAAUUGUUUUUAAUUACGCAAUCACGUUACCAAGAUGAAGCACAAACGUGGAGAUUUGACUUUUCACAACUUACUUAUCAAUAAGACAAAAAAGAAUAUCCACUUCCGGAACAUAUCAUAUAAAGUAAGUAGUGAUGUUCAAAAUGAAACAAACCCAAUAUAAAAAUUGCAAAUCAAACUAAUCUAAAUCGAAAUUGCAAAAAACUGCAUUUGAUUUGGAUGUAUUUUGAUCACUUUCUUACUUAACUACAUGGUUUGGUUUGGUUUGGAUUUUAUUUCAAAAGUCAAUCGGACCAAACCAAACCGCAUGUUUUUUUAUCUUAUGUUUGGAUGAUUUUUAUUCUCAAAGCCGAACCAAACCAAACCGCGAACCGCUGGUAUAAAUAUAGAUCCACCAAACGAACUCCCUUCAACUUGAACCGCAUAUUUUUCAUCAAAAGAGGGAGAAAAAAAAUUGAACUUCAUAUUUUGCCUUUUGAACUGUUAGUGAUCAUUGUAAUUUAUUUAAAUGGGUAUCAAAAUGGAAGGUACUAACAUCACUGAUCCAAUUCCUCUUCUUACACAUUACAAGAUGGGCAAAUUCAAUCUAGCUCAUAGGUACAUAGUAUUUCUCUUGCUAUUAGAAUUCAUUUCAAUGUUUUUCUCUUGCUAAAUAAUUUCACAUAAUUUCAGAGUUGUUUUGGCACCGCUAACAAGAAUGAGAUCAUACAACAAUGUUCCUCAAACCAUUGCUGUCGAGUAUUAUUCUCAGAGAACCUCUAAAGGAGGCCUUCUCAUAGCUGAAGCUACUGGUGUCUCAGACACUGCUCAAGGCUAUCCAAACACGCCAGGUAUAUGGACUAAAGAGCAUGUUGAGGCGUGGAAACCUAUUGUAAAUGCGGUUCAUGAUAAAGGCGGUAUAUUUUUCUGUCAAAUUUGGCAUGCUGGAAGGGUUUCAAAUUCAGGUAUGUAUCUAUUUCGUCAUAUCAUUAUUUAUUAUGUAAAUAAAUGUGACCGGAAGGUCUAACCAUCUGUGUCAACCUCAAUUGGCUAAGAUCAUCAAUUUUUAACAUAGACCUAGCAUAAUUUUAGCAUUACCUAGCUCAAAUAUAACAUGCUCAAAGGCGGUAUAUUUUUCUGUCAAAUUUGGCAUGUUGGAAGAGUUUCAAAUUCAGCUAUUUAUUUAUUUGCUCUAAUCAUUAGUAUUUUUUUUUUCCUUUGAUAAAAAUAAAAUUUUGAUUAGGUGACACACUUCCAAUUCAAAACUGGUGUGAACGGAAUGUUUAACUAUAUGUGCCUACACCAAUUGGUUCAAAUCAUCAGCUUUUAUUUAACAUAGACCUAUUAUGAGUUUAACAG
RNAcentral lists this long non-coding RNA (6527 nucleotides) under Medicago truncatula (barrel medic). RNAcentral describes it as "long non-coding RNA (MTRU_LNC002708)". The record is from RNAcentral. Lineage: Eukaryota; Viridiplantae; Streptophyta; Magnoliopsida; Fabales; Fabaceae.